AAAUAGCUACCACUUCUACGGAGGGCAGCAGGCGCGCNAAAUUGCCCAAUGUCAAAAAAAAACGAUGAGGCAGCGAAAAGAAAUAGAGCCGGCAGUGCCACUGGCAUUGCCGUUUUCAAUGGGGGAUAUUUAAACCCAUCCAAAAUCGAGUAUCAAUUGGAGGACAAGUCUGGUGCCAGCACCCGCGGUAAUUCCAGCUCCAAAAGCGUAUAUUAAUGCUGUUGCUGUUAAAGGGUUC
This 238-nucleotide ribosomal RNA is filed under the name Trypanosoma vegrandis. RNAcentral's name for it is "partial small subunit ribosomal RNA". It matches the Rfam family "Eukaryotic small subunit ribosomal RNA", at positions 401 to 629 of the family's 1831-position model. The record is from RNAcentral. Lineage: Eukaryota; Euglenozoa; Kinetoplastea; Trypanosomatida; Trypanosomatidae.